Molecule: long non-coding RNA, 232 nt
Filed under: Trifolium pratense (red clover)
Lineage: Eukaryota; Viridiplantae; Streptophyta; Magnoliopsida; Fabales; Fabaceae
Description: long non-coding RNA (TPRA_LNC007988)
Source: RNAcentral
AAAAUUAAUACAGAAAAUAAUCUUAACCUAAUCAAAUAAAUUUAAUCCACUCUAAGAAAAGAAUAUCAUUGAUCCCGUCAAGUUCUAUCGCAACCAACUUAGUAUUAAUUCAUUCCUUUCAUAGUUUUUCUAUACAUCUGCAAAUAAAAUAUAAUAAAUGAUUAAAUCCAAUAUAAAACAUUGCUUUGGAUAUUUUUACGGUACAAUAAAUAUAAUAAAAUUAAUGUUUGCA